GAGUUUGAUCAUGGCUCAGAGCGAACGCUGGCGGCAGGCUUAACACAUGCAAGUCGAGCGGCCGUAGCAAUACGGAAGCGGCAGACGGGAGAGUAACACGUGGGAACGUGCCCUUUAGUUCGGAAUAGGCCAGGGAAACUUGGGUUAAUACCGGAUAAGCCCUAACGGGGAAGAUUUAUCGCUAAAGGAUCGGCCCACGUCUGAUUAGCUAGUUGGUGAGGUAAUGGCUCACCAAGGCGACGAUCAGUAGCUGGUCUGAGAGGAUGACCAGCCUCACUGGGACUGAGACACGGCCCAGACUCCUACGGGAGGCAGCAGUGGGGAAUAUUGGACAAUGGGCGCAAGCCUGAUCCAGCCAUGCCGCGUGGGUGAUGAAGGCCCUAGGGUUGUAAAGCCCUUUCGGCGGGAAGA
Molecule: ribosomal RNA, 411 nt
Filed under: uncultured Alphaproteobacteria bacterium
Lineage: Bacteria; Pseudomonadati; Pseudomonadota; Alphaproteobacteria
Description: bacterial SSU rRNA
Rfam family: Bacterial small subunit ribosomal RNA
Source: RNAcentral